GUGCCUUUUUAAGAUUGUCUUAAGAGGCAAACACAGAGGGUGAGGGAAAUCUCCAUAAAACCAAGAGACGAGAUGGUAAAACUCCUCUUUGGAUCAUGUCUGUAGUUGCCACU
Molecule: small nucleolar RNA, 113 nt
Organism: Perognathus longimembris pacificus (Pacific pocket mouse)
Lineage: Eukaryota; Metazoa; Chordata; Mammalia; Rodentia; Heteromyidae
Product: small nucleolar RNA SNORA26
Exons: 1
Source: RefSeq, a predicted model, not a curated record